Molecule: ribosomal RNA, 432 nt
Filed under: uncultured bacterium
Lineage: Bacteria
Description: partial 16S ribosomal RNA
Rfam family: Bacterial small subunit ribosomal RNA
Source: RNAcentral
AACGAACGCUGGCGGCAUGCCUAACACAUGCAAGUCGAACGAGACCUUCGGGUCUAGUGGCGCACGGGUGCGUAACGCGUGGGAACCUGCCCUUAGGUUCGGAAUAACUCCCCGAAAGGGGUGCUAAUACCGGAUAAUGUCUUCGGACCAAAGAUUUAUCGCCUUUGGAUGGGCCCGCGUUGGAUUAGCUAGUUGGUAGGGUAAAAGCCUACCAAGGCGACGAUCCAUAGCUGGUCUGAGAGGAUGAUCAGCCACACUGGGACUGAGACACGGCCCAGACUCCUACGGGAGGCAGCAGUGGGGAAUAUUGGACAAUGGGCGAAAGCCUGAUCCAGCAAUGCCGCGUGAGUGAUGAAGGCCUUAGGGUUGUAAAGCUCUUUUACCCGGAUGAUAAUGACAGUACCGGGAGAAUAAGCUCCGGCUAACUCCGUG